Molecule: ribosomal RNA, 116 nt
Filed under: Vibrio vulnificus
Lineage: Bacteria; Pseudomonadati; Pseudomonadota; Gammaproteobacteria; Vibrionales; Vibrionaceae
Source: RNAcentral
CUUGGCGACUAUAGCGUUUUGGACCCACCUGAACCCAUUCCGAACUCAGAAGUGAAACGAAAUAGCGUCGAUGGUAGUGUGGGGUUUCCCCAUGUGAGAGUAGAACAUCGCCAGGC